CGCCUUGCUUCUCCCGCCAGCCCAGACCUCCUCCCGGGUUCCCUCCGCUGUGGCGUUCCUCUCUGCAGCCCAUGGCACACCGCUCCCUAGCCAGUCAGGCUGUCUCCACACAGCCAACCCUCGUCCUCUCCCUGGAAUUUACCUCCGGAGCCUGAGCCUCAGCGCCCAGCCACCCCGCAAGCAUCUCAGGCUGCGGUGUCCAGGCACCUCCCCCUUGGACUGGCUUCUCUCUUAUCACACUACAGGACUAUGUGGUGGAGAACUGAAACCUCUUAUCAACAUCCAUUUAUUGUUUCCUGCUGAAAGGCAGUGUUCUCUCUGAGGUCCAAAGACUGACAUUUCUGUGGACUUAAUCUACAUGUCCAAGGACACUUCAAAGGUUAAAUAUGUUGAAAACUAAGACUUACAGUUGAGUCUCUGAUGAGACUGCAGCCCCUGCUGAUACCUGGAUUGCAGCUUGGUUAAGAGCCUGAACAAAGGACCCAGGUGAGCUGUGCUCCAACUCCUGACCCAUGGAAACUGUGAGAUAAUAAAUGUGUAUUGUUUUAAGAUGCUAAAUUUAUGGUAAUUUGUUAUAUAGAAAUAGAGAAUGAACACAGGCCUCAAUGCUUAAAAAAUAAAAUGCUACUUAAAAGAUUUUGUAAAAAAUAUUUACCUAAUAUAGUAUUGAA
Molecule: long non-coding RNA, 671 nt
Organism: Sus scrofa (pig)
Lineage: Eukaryota; Metazoa; Chordata; Mammalia; Artiodactyla; Suidae
Source: RefSeq, a predicted model, not a curated record